CGUAAGCAUUAAGCGUGCGUUGGCACAAAGCCGAGCGCACACAGUCCUGUUUGUCGAAACGAAUGAUACCGACCAUCUCGUCCUCUUCGAAGCGCUCCAGCGCGUCGCUAAGGCCGGAUUUCACGCCGCGUGGCAAAUCGCACUGGGUAAUAUCGCCGUUAACGAUCACCGUGACGUUCUCGCCCAGACGGGUC
RNAcentral lists this antisense RNA (194 nucleotides) under Serratia fonticola. RNAcentral's name for it is "Yersinia sRNA 251". It matches the Rfam family "Yersinia sRNA 251". Rfam says of the family: Antisense to phoH gene. Trimmed on 5'end from the original size. The record is from Rfam by way of RNAcentral. Lineage: Bacteria; Pseudomonadati; Pseudomonadota; Gammaproteobacteria; Enterobacterales; Yersiniaceae.